Molecule: ribosomal RNA, 373 nt
Filed under: uncultured bacterium
Lineage: Bacteria
Description: bacterial SSU rRNA
Rfam family: Bacterial small subunit ribosomal RNA
Source: RNAcentral
ACGUAGGGUGCGAGCGUUAAUCGGAAUUACUGGGCGUAAAGCGUGCGCAGGCGGUUUUGUAAGACAGGCGUGAAAUCCCCGGGCUUAACCUGGGAACUGCGUUUGUGACUGCAAGGCUAGAGUACGGCAGAGGGGGGUGGAAUUCCACGUGUAGCAGUGAAAUGCGUAGAGAUGUGGAGGAACACCAAUGGCGAAGGCAGCCCCCUGGGUCGAUACUGACGCUCAUGCACGAAAGCGUGGGUAGCAAACAGGAUUAGAUACCCUGGUAGUCCACGCCCUAAACUAUGUCAACUAGGUGUUGGGUGGGUAAAACCAUUUAGUACCGUAGCUAACGCGUGAAGUUGACCGCCUGGGGAGUACGGCCGCAAGGUUA